GCCCACAUCAGUGGAUGAAUAACAAAACCACUUUGUAAAAGCCAUUUAGGGUCAGGAUACAUCCAGUUUAGUGGCCCUGUUGUAGAUGUUCCCUGUGUUGUUGGGAAGGAGGGCUGGGAAUUGAUGCAAAGAAAUAGCCCUUAGAACUUGGAAGGUAAAGUUUAGGGUGAGUCUCUGUGAGCCCUCUGACACCGCAUGCAGUCCUUUUUCUUUUGUUAUAGUCUUCAAACGAGUCAAUAUUCCAAUGAAGGUUUAGAGCCAGUGUGUUAGAGUGACCAGGCCUUCAGACAGCCUAUCCCCUCCUGUGGGGGCUGCUGUAUAUUUAUUCCUCAGGAGAAGCUGGUAGAAGACUUCAUGAAGGAGAAGAAAAGGAAAAAAAUCAAAGGAUGACUACAGCCUCUCUUCAUCUCAGCUUUGCAAAGCAUGACUCAACAGAGAGAUCACAUUCUUGAAGACUCUCCAGACCACAGCCACCACAGACACUAACCACAGCCAGCAACUGGACCUCAGCCCUGGGAUUUACUCUUGAUGUCUCAACUGAUUAUGAAAUCAGUAGGAGAGCUUGUAUCCCUUUCUAACUUGCUCAUCAGAGAUUUUAAGAUUUGCAUACAUGUGGUAUGUAAGGACACAAAUCUUAGGGGUUAAUAGUAAACUGUCAGGAGUCCUGGUUACUUUUUGUCUCUUGGAAAUGGGAAAGAUAGGGUAUGGGAAAAGUGGAAAGUCUUAUACCUUUCAGAUAUUCUCAGUGAUUGCUCAGGACACCCAUAAUCACAUCUUCUGAUGCCUUAUCUUAUAUCAUGCCUCUCCUUUCUUC
This 814-nucleotide long non-coding RNA is filed under the name Bos taurus (domestic cattle). RNAcentral's name for it is "long non-coding RNA NONBTAT026654". The record is from RNAcentral. Lineage: Eukaryota; Metazoa; Chordata; Mammalia; Artiodactyla; Bovidae.